RNAcentral lists this ribosomal RNA (488 nucleotides) under uncultured bacterium. Its description in RNAcentral is "partial 16S ribosomal RNA". It matches the Rfam family "Bacterial small subunit ribosomal RNA", at positions 28 to 507 of the family's 1533-position model. The record is from RNAcentral.
GACGAACGCUGGCGGCGUGCUUAACACAUGCAAGUCGAACGGAAAGGCCCUGCUCUUGUGGGGUGCUCGAGUGGCGAACGGGUGAGUAACACGUGAGUAACCUGCCCUUGACUUUGGGAUAACUUCAGGAAACUGGGGCUAAUACCGGAUAGGAGCUCCUGCUGCAUGGUGGGGGUUGGAAAGUUUCGGCGGUUGGGGAUGGACUCGCGGCUUAUCAGCUUGUUGGUGGGGUAGUGGCUUACCAAGGCUUUGACGGGUAGCCGGCCUGAGAGGGUGACCGGCCACACUGGCAGUGAGACACGGCCGGGACGCCUAGGGGAGGCAGCAGAAGGGAAUCUUCCGAGAUGGGCGGCAGCGGGAGGGAGCAACGCCGCGUGAGUGAUGAUGGUCUGCGGAUGGUAAAACGGUGUUAUGAGGGAGGAACAUAUGUGUAAGUAACUGUGCACAUCUGGACGGGACCUAAUCAGAAAGCCACGGCUAACUAGGUG